AUGCAAGUCGAACGGUAACAGGAAGCAGCUUGCUGCUUCGCUGACGAGUGGCGGACGGGUGAGUAAUGUCUGGGAAACUGCCUGAUGGAGGGGGAUAACUACUGGAAACGGUAGCUAAUACCGCAUAACGUCGCAAGACCAAAGAGGGGGACCUUAGGGCCUCUUGCCAUCGGAUGUGCCCAGAUGGGAUUAGCUAGUAGGUGGGGUAACGGCUCACCUAGGCGACGAUCCCUAGCUGGUCUGAGAGGAUGACCAGCCACACUGGAACUGAGACGCGGUCCAGACUCCUACGGGAGGCAGCAGCGGGGAAUAUUGCACAAUGGGCGCAAGCCUGAUGCAGCCAUACCGCGUGUAUGAAGAAGGCCUUCGGGUUGUAAAGUACUUUCAGCGGGGAGGAAGGGAGUAAAGUUAAUACCUUUGCUCAUUGACGUUACCCGCAGAAGAAGCACCGGCUAACUCCGUGCCAGCAGCCGCGGUAAUACGGAGGGUGCAAGCGUUAAUCGGAAUUACUGGGCGUAAAGCGCACGCAGGCGGUUUGUUAAGUCAGAUGUGAAAUCCCCGGGCUCAACCUGGGAACUGCAUCUGAUACUGGCAAGCUUGAGUC
Molecule: ribosomal RNA, 604 nt
Filed under: uncultured Gammaproteobacteria bacterium
Lineage: Bacteria; Pseudomonadati; Pseudomonadota; Gammaproteobacteria
Description: bacterial SSU rRNA
Rfam family: Bacterial small subunit ribosomal RNA
Source: RNAcentral